GGCCUCGUGGCCCAAUGGCAAGGCGUCUGACUACGAUCGAAAAUAAAGCUGACAGCUGUUAUCAGCUGCAGAUCACGUCAUCUAUCAGGAGAUUCUGGGUUCGACCCCCAGCGAGGUCA
This 119-nucleotide transfer RNA is filed under the name Xylaria venustula. RNAcentral's name for it is "tRNA-Arg". It matches the Rfam family "tRNA". Rfam says of the family: Transfer RNA (tRNA) molecules are approximately 80 nucleotides in length. Lineage: Eukaryota; Fungi; Ascomycota; Sordariomycetes; Xylariales; Xylariaceae. The record is from RNAcentral.